This 587-nucleotide ribosomal RNA is filed under the name Malassezia globosa. RNAcentral describes it as "eukaryotic LSU rRNA". It matches the Rfam family "Eukaryotic large subunit ribosomal RNA", at positions 70 to 663 of the family's 3401-position model. Lineage: Eukaryota; Fungi; Basidiomycota; Malasseziomycetes; Malasseziales; Malasseziaceae. The record is from RNAcentral.
GGCGAUCUCCUAGUACGGCGAGCGAGCGGGAAGAGCUCAAUUUGAAAGCUGGCACCUCCGGUGUCCGCUCUGUAAUCUCGAGACGUGUUUUCCGUGCGGCUCUAUGGACAGUCCCUUGGAAUAGGGCAUCGUAGAGGGUGAGAAUCCCGUACUUGCCAUGGAAGAACCGUGCUUUGCGAUACACGCUCUAAGAGUCGAGUUGUUUGGGAUUGCAGCUCAAAAUGGGUGGUAGACUCCAUCUAAAGCUAAAUAUCGGGGAGAGACCGAUAGCGAACAAGUACCGUGAGGGAAAGAUGAAAAGCACUUUGGAAAGAGAGUUAAAAGUACGUGAAAUUGUCGAAAGGGAAGCACUUGAAGUCAGCCAUGCUGCUUGAGACUCACCUGGCCUUUGGGCUUGGUGUAUUUCUCGGUGGCAAGCCAGCAUUGGUUUGGGUCGUCGGAAACCGCAUAGGGAUGUACGUUUCCGGACGUGUUAUACCUUAUGCAGGAUACACGACCUGGAUCAAGGAACGCGGGCCCUCUGGGGGGGCCUCGGACCCUUCCACUUAGGAUGCGGGGCAAUGAUUUUAGUGGCCGCUUGAAACCGG